Long non-coding RNA from Mus musculus (house mouse), 321 nucleotides. RefSeq annotates it as predicted gene, 29945. The transcript is spliced from 3 exons. The record is from RefSeq and is a predicted model, not a curated record. Lineage: Eukaryota; Metazoa; Chordata; Mammalia; Rodentia; Muridae.
UCUCAUCCUCUUUCACACACUGAACACUGCUGUGACCUCAGCCAGCUUCUAUGACAAGCCACAAAGCUUCUGGUUGGCCAAGCUUUUCCACUGCCUGGAAUAACCUCACUUUCCUCUCUGGCAGGCACACCCGACCACAGGCAGGUGGAAAUGGAAGAUGCCAGAGAAGCCCAGCAAAGCUGAAUGCGGCUGCACCUUGCAAAGACCUUUUGUUCUGUAUAUCGACAGUACAAAGUAUGGUUAGAGAUGGAAUGCUGAGGCACAUGGAUAGAACUGUCAGGACAAAGAGGCUGGAGUCAAGAGAAGACAUAGUGAGCUGGU